CAAACCCGAUCGCUUAAGCACCUUCAAUUCAUAUUGGUGAUGGUGUUCAAUUAAAUAUAAUUAUUGCAAGAAAAAUAUGGAUAUUCCUCAACAUUCAUUGAACUGCGUUAGAUCUGGAUGGAGGCAGAGCAAGAAUGAAGAUGAGAUUAGGAGUUUUUUGUAAUUUUUUUUUUUUUAAAAAAAAGGAACGCUACUUUCCUAUUCCAACGCUAUACAUUAUAACGUUUGCCAAAAGCUAUCUAAACACUACUUCAAACUCUAACCACUACUCUAAACUCUAUCAUGCCAAACACUCAAUUAGUGUUUUGACCAAGUCAAAACACUAAAAGCUAGUUGAAAAGCUAUCGCCGAACAGGCCCAUAAUAUUGUAGGUCUGUAGCAAGGCACUUAUCCCACGAACUCCAUUCUUGUUCAUCUUUUCCUCCAAAAAAACCUAAAUCAGAAUAACAAAAAGCUAUUGUUAUCUCAAUUUAAAGCAAUGAGCUAAUCUUCAAACAAUCAAUUUUUUUAUGGCACUAAUGUUUGUGAAGGUUGUCCAAUCAUCUUCUCUGAUUUUUACCACUGAGUAGUUUCAGAUCUGCAACAAUUGAAAAUGAGCAUGAGAGUGACUCACAGAACAAUAAAGGUAUGAUUGACUUAGACCCACAAGUUAUUGCUCACUAUGGAAUCCCUUCUACGACUUCCUGUCUUGCUUACGAUCCCAUUCAGCAGCUUUUGGCAAUUGGAACUUUAUUCUAAGAGUGAACUUCAGUUGAUGAGCGGUUCAAUUCAGUCCAUAGACGUUUGGCACAGUCGUGGUGUUAGGAUCAAGAUGAUGGUGAAGGAAAAGAAGCCAAGGAUCCAUUAAAUUAGUACAACUCGUAAAGCUAUUAAUGAUUUGAAAAGGCCUUGUAAAAGAUAUAUUUCUUUUGUUAUGUUUUUUUAUAAGGUUUUAAGAAGUUGAUAGUAGACAUUAUCUAAUUGACUUAUUUGUGAUCGAACAGAAUAUUUUAGUGUGUAUUUAAUCAUUAGUUAAUUAAGACAGAUAUUAAUAUUAUUAUAUAUAUUAUUGGUCAUUUCUACGUA
Beta vulgaris subsp. vulgaris (sugar beet) is the source of this 1065-nucleotide long non-coding RNA. RefSeq lists it as uncharacterized. The record is from RefSeq and is a predicted model, not a curated record. The transcript is spliced from 4 exons. NCBI's taxonomy places the organism in Eukaryota, Viridiplantae, Streptophyta, Magnoliopsida, Caryophyllales, Amaranthaceae.